RNAcentral lists this ribosomal RNA (1017 nucleotides) under Microbacterium sp. Its description in RNAcentral is "bacterial SSU rRNA". It matches the Rfam family "Bacterial small subunit ribosomal RNA", at positions 29 to 1051 of the family's 1533-position model. Lineage: Bacteria; Bacillati; Actinomycetota; Actinomycetes; Micrococcales; Microbacteriaceae. The record is from RNAcentral.
UUGUUUCGUUAACUGACGCGCACGUCAGUGACAGUCGAACGGUGAAGCAGAGCUUGCUCUGUGGAUCAGUGGCGAACGGGUGAGUAACACGUGAGCAACCUGCCCCUGACUCUGGGAUAAGCGCUGGAAACGGCGUCUAAUACUGGAUAUGAGCUGCGAUCGCAUGGUCAGCAGUUGGAAAGAUUUUUCGGUCUGGGAUGGGCUCACGGCCUAUCAGCUUGUUGGUGAGGUAAUGGCUCACCAAGGCGUCGACGGGUAGCCGGCCUGAGAGGGUGACCGGCCACACUGGGACUGAGACACGGCCCAGACUCCUACGGGAGGCAGCAGUGGGGAAUAUUGCACAAUGGGCGAAAGCCUGAUGCAGCAACGCCGCGUGAGGGAUGACGGCCUUCGGGUUGUAAACCUCUUUUAGCAGGGAAGAAGCGAAAGUGACGGUACCUGCAGAAAAAGCGCCGGCUAACUACGUGCCAGCAGCCGCGGUAAUACGUAGGGCGCAAGCGUUAUCCGGAAUUAUUGGGCGUAAAGAGCUCGUAGGCGGUUUGUCGCGUCUGCUGUGAAAUCCCGAGGCUCAACCUCGGGUCUGCAGUGGGUACGGGCAGACUAGAGUGCGGUAGGGGAGAUUGGAAUUCCUGGUGUAGCGGUGGAAUGCGCAGAUAUCAGGAGGAACACCGAUGGCGAAGGCAGAUCUCUGGGCCGUUACUGACGCUGAGGAGCGAAAGGGUGGGGAGCAAACAGGCUUAGAUACCCUGGUAGUCCACCCCGUAAACGUUGGGAACUAGUUGUGGGGUCCAUUCCACGGAUUCCGUGACGCAGCUAACGCAUUAAGUUCCCCGCCUGGGGAGUACGGCCGCAAGGCUAAAACUCAAAGGAAUUGACGGGGGACCCGCACAAGCGGCGGAGCAUGCGGAUUAAUUCGAUGCAACGCGAAGAACCUUACCAAGGCUUGACAUAUACGAGAACGGGCCAGAAAAUGGUCAACUCCUUGGGACAUUCGUAAAACAGGUGGGGGCAUGGUUU